GUGAGGAAUCUUCCACAAUGGGCGAAAGCCUGAUGGAGCAACGCCGCGUGAAGGAUGAAGGUCUUCGGAUUGUAAACUUCUUUUAUGAGUGAAGAAUAUGACGGUAACUCAUGAAUAAGCACCGGCUAACUACGUGCCAGCAGCCGCGGUCAUACGUAGGGUGCAAGCAUUAUCCGGAGUGACUGGGCGUAAAGAGUUGCGUAGGCGGUUAUGUAAGCGAAUAGUGAAACCUGGUGGCUUAACCACACAGACUAUUAUUCGAACUGCAUAACUCGAGAAUGGUAGAGGUAACUGGAAUUUCUUGUGUAGGAGUGAAAUCCGUAGAUAUAAGAAGGAACACCAAUGGCGUAGGCAGGUUACUGGGCCAUUUCUGACGCUAAGGCACGAAAGCGUGGGGAGCGAACCGGAUUAGAUACCCUUGUAGUCC
RNAcentral lists this ribosomal RNA (427 nucleotides) under uncultured bacterium. RNAcentral describes it as "partial 16S ribosomal RNA". It matches the Rfam family "Bacterial small subunit ribosomal RNA", at positions 354 to 796 of the family's 1533-position model. The record is from RNAcentral.